CGCCUCUCCGGGCUUCCUGCACAGAUUCUUCCGCCUUUCUACACAAAAUCCUCCCGCUGUCUGACAACGGCUCACACUGGACUCUGCAGUGAGCUGCAGGCUUUCCACCUUCCCUCGCAUCCUCUGGCUCUUCAGCAUGCAGACAGCCUCCUGUUCUCCUCCACCCCUGUUUCCGCAGGCCGCCAUUGUUCUAGAUGAAGCAUGGGAUUGCAGUGGUGCUAGAGCUUCACAAGAAAUGGGGCGAAAACGGCUUCACCAAAGUUCCCAAAUCUUCAGAAGAGGUCUUUCCUGGCUGGUAAUAGAUGCUCCUGUAGAUUUUCAGUCACGGCAAGACGGCAGGGCGCUGCGUUUCAUCGUCACGAAACAGGCUUUUCAUGGUAAAGAUGUUCCCAUCACCUGUCAUCGCAAAGAAGAACUGCCAGCUAUUUAUUUCUGUGUUCCUAAUUGUUGUCAGAAUGUGACCUAAAACUUGGACAGGGAAUUUUUCAAAGUCAGGCUUGCACAAGGCACGUGCAUUUAUCACAUGUAUGUAUCCCACGCUCACCUAGGCAGCGGCACUCGUGAAGGUCUGUUUUUAUUUAAUUCUCAAGAUUUUGUUGUUAAUGGGAAAACUGUCUCAUAAAUUAGGGAAGUGCUCAAUUACAAGCCUGACAGAGAUUGAUUUUGGUUCUGCUGUCGGUCACUACCGGCAUGUGAAGGCCACGGAAACCACAACUCCAGCUGAUGGAGGAGUCGCGUCAGAGGGGGUCGGGAGCAAGCGUUCGUUAGGGAGCCGGAGAAUGGGUGGCAACCCCUCUGCGUGUUCUUCGUGCUGACAGCAGUGAUCUGCAUGCUUCCUGCCCGCCUUGCUGCAUCCAUCCAUGGGGCAGAAAAGCAUAUUUAAAUGACCUGCAUAAAGAUGUUUUUAAAGAAAGCAAACAGCAAAUUAAGGCUUUAGCCACCAAGUACAAAAUAAGAAAAUAGAUUUUGAAAGACUUGAAUUUCUCAGUAUCACAUUGGAAUUCACAAGGAAUGUUCUACAACUAAAGGACAAUAGGCACAGAAGUGUGAAUUUAAAAUAAACCUAACUUGAGCAUCU
RNAcentral lists this long non-coding RNA (1078 nucleotides) under Chinchilla lanigera (long-tailed chinchilla). RNAcentral's name for it is "lncRNA (ENSCLAG00000022699.1)". Lineage: Eukaryota; Metazoa; Chordata; Mammalia; Rodentia; Chinchillidae. The record is from RNAcentral.